UAGGGAAUCUUCGGCAAUGGACGAAAGUCUGACCGAGCAACGCCGCGUGAGUGAAGAAGGUUUUCGGAUCGUAAAACUCUGUUGUUAGAGAAGAACAAGGACGUUAGUAACUGAACGUCCCCUGACGGUAUCUAACCAGAAAGCCACGGCUAACUACGUGCCAGCAGCCGCGGUAAUACGUAGGUGGCAAGCGUUGUCCGGAUUUAUUGGGCGUAAAGCGAGCGCAGGCGGUUCCUUAAGUCUGAUGUGAAAGCCCCCGGCUCAACCGGGGAGGGUCAUUGGAAACUGGGAGACUUGAGUGCAGAAGAGGGGAGUGGAAUUCCAUGUGUAGCGGUGAAAUGCGUAGAUAUAUGGAGGAACACCAGUGGCGAAGGCGGCUCUCUGGUCUGUAACUGACGCUGAGGCUCGAAAGCGUGGGGAGCAAACAGG
RNAcentral lists this ribosomal RNA (429 nucleotides) under Gemmatimonadota bacterium. RNAcentral's name for it is "Gemmatimonadetes bacterium partial 16S ribosomal RNA". It matches the Rfam family "Bacterial small subunit ribosomal RNA", at positions 355 to 776 of the family's 1533-position model. The record is from RNAcentral. Lineage: Bacteria; Pseudomonadati; Gemmatimonadota.